Molecule: ribosomal RNA, 200 nt
Filed under: uncultured bacterium
Lineage: Bacteria
Description: partial 16S ribosomal RNA
Rfam family: Bacterial small subunit ribosomal RNA
Source: RNAcentral
CCUACGGGAGGCAGCAGUGGGGAAUAUUGGACAAUGGGGGAAACCCUGAUCCAGCCAUGCCGCGUGUGUGAAGAAGGUCUUCGGAUUGUAAAGCACUUUAAGUUGGGAGGAAGGGCUUCAGGUUAAUACCUUGAAGUCUUGACGUUACCAACAGAAUAAGCACCGGCUAACUCUGUGCCAGCAGCCGCGGUAAUACAGAG